GAUGAAGAACGCAGCGAAAUGCGAUAGGUAAUGUGAAUUGCAGAAUUCAGUGAAUCAUCGAAUCUUUGAACGCACAUUGCGCCCGUCAGUAUUCUGGCGGGCAUGCCUGUUCGAGCGUCAUUACGCCCCUCAAGUCCCCUGUGGACUUGGUGUUGGGGAUCGGCGAGGCUGGUUUUCCAGCACAGCCGUCCCUUAAAUUAAUUGGCGGUCUCGCCGUGGCCCUCCUCUGCGCAGUAGUAAAACACUCGCAACAGGAGCCCGGCGCGGUCCACUGCCGUAAAACCCCCCAACUUUUUAUAGUUGACCUCGAAUCAGGUAGGACUACCCGCUGAACUUAAGCAUAUCAAUAAGCGGAGGA
Molecule: unclassified non-coding RNA, 358 nt
Filed under: soil metagenome
Description: partial contains 5.8S ribosomal RNA, internal transcribed spacer 2, and large subunit ribosomal RNA
Rfam family: 5.8S ribosomal RNA (bases 1-120)
Source: RNAcentral